GUGGGGAAUCUUAGACAAUGGGCGCAAGCCUGAUCUAGCCAUGCCGCGUGAGCGAUGAAGGCCUUAGGGUUGUAAAGCUCUUUCGUGGGGGAAGAUAAUGACUGUACCCCAAGAAGAAGCCCCGGCUAACUCCGUGCCAGCAGCCGCGGUAAUACGGAGGGGGCUAGCGUUGUUCGGAAUUAGUGGGCGUAAAGCGCACGUAGGCGGACUGGAAAGUCAGGGGUGAAAUCCCGGGGCUCAACCCCGGAACUGCCUUUGAAACUCCCAGUCUUGAGUUCGAGAGAGGUGAGUGGAAUUCCGAGUGUAGAGGUGAAAUUCGUAGAUAUUCGGAGGAACACCAGUGGCGAAGGCGGCUCACUGGCUCGAUACUGACGCUGAGGUGCGAAAGCGUGGGGAGCAAACAGGAUUAGAAACCCGUGUAGUCC
RNAcentral lists this ribosomal RNA (425 nucleotides) under uncultured bacterium. Its description in RNAcentral is "bacterial SSU rRNA". It matches the Rfam family "Bacterial small subunit ribosomal RNA", at positions 354 to 796 of the family's 1533-position model. The record is from RNAcentral.